This 454-nucleotide ribosomal RNA is filed under the name uncultured bacterium. RNAcentral's name for it is "bacterial SSU rRNA". It matches the Rfam family "Bacterial small subunit ribosomal RNA", at positions 64 to 507 of the family's 1533-position model. The record is from RNAcentral.
GGACGGGAUCCAUCGGAGAGCUUGCUCGAAGAUGGUGAGAGUGGCGCACGGGUGCGUAACGCGUGAGCAACCUACCUCUAUCAGGGGGAUAGCCUCUCGAAAGAGAGAUUAACACCGCAUAACAUCAACAGUUCGCAUGUUCGGUUGAUUAAAUAUUUAUAGGAUAGAGAUGGGCUCGCGUGACAUUAGCUAGUUGGUAGGGUAACGGCUUACCAAGGCGACGAUGUCUAGAGGCUCUGAGAGGAGAAUCCCCCACACUGGUACUGAGACACGGACCAGACUCCUACGGGAGGCAGCAGUAAGGAAUAUUGGUCAAUGGGCGGAAGCCUGAACCAGCCAUGCCGCGUGCAGGAUGACUGCCCUAUGGGUUGUAAACUGCUUUUGUCCAGGAAUAAACCUCUUUACGAGUAGAGAGCUGAAUGUACUGGAAGAAUAAGGAUCGGCUAACUCCGUG